Esox lucius (northern pike) is the source of this 1653-nucleotide long non-coding RNA. RefSeq lists it as uncharacterized. Lineage: Eukaryota; Metazoa; Chordata; Actinopteri; Esociformes; Esocidae. The transcript is spliced from 3 exons. The record is from RefSeq and is a predicted model, not a curated record.
GUUUACAUCCCAGCGUCAAACAAUGGGCAAGUCAGCAAGUUAGGUACUGUAAAUAGCUAGCUGGCAAUGAUGAAAUAAAACACUCGUUUUCUACUGUAAUGAACAGCUUCAAAACAUUUUUAACUUUACUAUUUCGUAUUUAAAAAGUGUCAAUGAAUGGGCUACUAGCACUAGCUAGCGUUGCCCACUUACUACUUGCUACCUAGCUAGCUACUUUAAGACACCGGGAAAACCAUGAUAUGAGAGGUCCACAGAUGUAUGAAGUCUAGUUGGAGGAGAGAGGUUGAAGAAAUCUUCACGACGUGAGGACAUGUAGCAGACAUCCCAACCUGCAAAAGGUCAUUUCAGGGAGGUAUCCCGAAGCCCCCCCAAUAAAAAGGAGGACAAUGAUAUUACUUUUACAAUCAUUUAACCCACCAUGGGCAAUGCUGAAGUCGCUGUUGCAAACUGUACAGCGUGCAAGACUGUCAUUUCGUGUAGUCUUGCAUAAAAUGUAUAUUGUAUUUGCGUUUUUUGGGGCACUUUCCCUCUGCCAUGGCGCUCUUGUUUCUAUACAGAACUGACUGAGUAUUCAGUUCCGGACUCGAGAGGAGAUAAAAGCCCGCCCACACUGACAAUUGAUUGGUUGACUUACCGAAACAGGCCAAUCACGAUGCUCUCUGUUACAUGCGCUUCAUGGGGCACACACGCAGACUAGCACACACACACGCAAGGUCUCUCGCUCCCUCUCCCUCUCUGCCGUGCGCGCGCUACACGGUUUGAAGCAGUCUCUGUCUCGCAUGCUCUUAGAAAGCCUAUGGUGUAAAUGGAUGGACAGGAUUGAGUUAGAUUUUUCUGAGAUGCAGUUCUAUUUGGCAGGGGAAAACCCUCUUUUAUAUCAGGUUAUAAACCCCAAAUUUAACAUUGUUUAUUGCGAUUAUAUUUUGUUUUCCGAUCCUCAAGUAACUAUUGAGAAGGACGUUGUACAGCUGACUAACUUAAUUGCAGUUUGCUAGCUACCUCACAAGCUGCUCCAGCAGAGGGCACCCUCCUUUAUUUCAAAUACUACUGACCAAGUUGUACUCCAUCAAUCAGUUGCUCUCCAGUAGGAAGCCAGGCCUGGAUUUGCAGCAAAAUUUAAAAAAUAAAUUGUAUAAAUGCAUAAUUUGGUUUAAGGUAGGCUUAUGUUUUCCUAAAUUGUCCUCCUGAAGUGUGUACUAGUUUAGUGUUCCUUAUUCUAAGCAGAAUGACAGGGUACAACGGCGGACUCAAAUGCACGACUCAGAGGGGUGUCACAAGUAACAGUCUUUAUUGUUCCAAGAACAAAAUGCAGGCAGAGUUACAAAAACAGCAGGCAAAAAAUCGUAGUCGAGAACCGAAGCAAGAGGUCUAGUAACACGGGACAACAAACACUGGAGGAAAACGCUGGAGAGAGUGACAUAAGUACAACUUCAAUCUGGCACUGGGAAGUGGGACUGGGGGCUCAGGCUGAUGAUCAGUCUCCGUAGCUGAGAGAAACUUUGGAGGAACUUCGUUGUCAAUAACACUGCUAAUAUUUCUAACUGUACUGAUGUGGAAGGGCAGACAUACAGUAUAUUAUCAUUAAACAGUAUUAAGUCAAAUGUACAGCGCCACUUAGUGAGGGAACAUUUGAUCCCCUGCUGAUUUAGUACA